Molecule: microRNA precursor, 94 nt
Filed under: Cicer arietinum (chickpea)
Lineage: Eukaryota; Viridiplantae; Streptophyta; Magnoliopsida; Fabales; Fabaceae
Description: MIR2086 microRNA precursor family
Rfam family: MIR2086 microRNA precursor family
Source: Rfam by way of RNAcentral
CACUUUCCUCAUGGCAUGUAUCGUACUUGCUACUUGACUUUAGGGGAAAUCGAGCAGCGAGAGACAUGAAUGCAGAGCUGCCAACAGAAAAGAA